AUACUAAACUAGGUUUCUGGACAUACCUCUACUGUUAACAGUAAUUCUUUAUUUAAAUAGGCAAGACAUUCUGCUCUUGCAGAAAGGCCCUUGCGAUCAGAAUAAGAGGAAAAUAGAUCCUGGUAAGGACCCAGGUUCUGAGAACACCUUUUAGGGUCUGACAUCUCUGCCAGGUGUGAAGAGCUGAGAAUCAGUGGAUCUGAGUUCUAGCCCUAGUUCUGGUGUUAACUCCUCAGCCAUAACUUCCUUGUGCUUUCUUUACAAUGAGGAUAAUAAAACCAGCUUUGUCUUCUUCACAGGCUAUUGCUGAAGACAACAUGAUAUAACAGAAUUGGAAGUGCUUUCACAAACAUUGUUUUAUGAACACAAGGUUCAUCCCCAUCUUGUGGAAUUGGAUUUCCACCAAGGGUUCCUGCUCCUCAUUUAGCGUGGAAGAAAGUGGAUUUUGCAAAUAACAUUCAUGAUGUUUUGGGCAGUAUCUACUCUGCCUGCAAGCUUAGGCUACAAAUGACAAAUGGCACACCAAAGUGAGGUGUGGUCGUGCAGACAGAAAAAGCAAGGGCCUCCUAAUGCCCAGGAAGCAAAAAGGAAAGAACGUCUCUUCGGUACCUCAUGACUUCCUGCUAGAGGCCUGAAGUCACUGGCACACUGGAGGAUUCUGUUAGUAUUCUCAUCAGGUAUGCUGUUUAUUAGACAGAUUAAGACUAAAAGAAAAUACACAAAAAUAGAAAGCUGCUUCUUUGAGAAUGAUGAGUAUGUUUUCAAAAACUUUAAAUUUUAAAUAUUUAUAGAUUCACAUGAAGGUGUCACAAAAUGUACAGGGAAGUCCUGAACACUCUUCACCCAGCCUCUGCCAAGGUUAGUGUCAUGAGUAACUGUAGUAAAAUGUCGAAACCAGGAAACUGACAUUAGAACAAUCCACAGAGCUUAUUCAGAUUUCAACAGUUAUGCAUGGACUCAUUU
This 963-nucleotide long non-coding RNA is filed under the name Homo sapiens (human). Its description in RNAcentral is "HSALNT0304436". The record is from RNAcentral. Lineage: Eukaryota; Metazoa; Chordata; Mammalia; Primates; Hominidae.